GACACAAACAUGCAACCGUGAUCUGAAAUCUGAAAAGAAAAACAAUCGUUAGAAAAAUAAAUUGGAGAUCAGAUCUCCAUACCUCGGAUCCUACGGAUGUCCCGAGUUCUGAUUGUAGCCAUGUAGACGUCCGACCUCUGUGGAUAUCCAUACGGAGAUGCCUGAUCGGAGCACCGAGAUCAUCGGUAUGCUAGUACCUUGCAGAUCUCGCUCCUCAUCUUUGGAUCU
This 228-nucleotide long non-coding RNA is filed under the name Elaeis guineensis (African oil palm). Its description in RNAcentral is "long non-coding RNA (EGUI_LNC058164)". The record is from RNAcentral. Lineage: Eukaryota; Viridiplantae; Streptophyta; Magnoliopsida; Arecales; Arecaceae.